GUCAAGUUAACCCUGCCCAUCGCUCAAUGGCUCAAUCGCAUCGCUCUCCAGGCAACACCGUAAGGAGUAGCAACCUGCCAUUUCGAUAUAUCAUAGCUGUGUUUGUGCCCUCACUCAUGGUCCAGACUUUUUUCAAAUAGGACAUGAAGUUUGUCUGCAGCGAGUGUUUUGGUAGAAACUGCGCCUCCCAUUCAUUAUAAUGGGAAAUGACCACAGACAAGUGCGCACACCAUCUUUGGACCUUGAGUGUGACGCGAUCGGGAGGGGGAGGCGGUCGCGCUGGGGGCGGCGCGACGCGGCUCGGGCCCGACAGUGCCCCACCGGGGCCCUAGUUAGGGCCCGAGCGUAGCUGCUAAGCAGCUGCGAGAGCCCUCUUGUUCCUGUAGUUUCCUUCUUUUGUUAUUAUUAGGGCCCGAGCCAGCUGCAGAGCAGCCGGGCGUAGGCCCUGUUAUUCCUGUAGGGGUUUUUCUUUGUUUCUUUCUUUCUUCUUUUUCCUCCCCUUUGAACUGGAAAAUGGCCCACUUCCCACUGGCGAAAACUCAGGAAAUUUGGCAGGACGACCGGGCCUGGUGAAAAAUUUGAUAUUCCGAAGUCGCCCAAACAAGAAAAUGCAAAAUGGCUCCAUAGCGCCCCCUAAGGUGAAAAUUCACACUAUUGACUGUCACGCCUGUACGCUUUGUCAAAAUGACACAAAAAUUGACACACACAUGUAUCUCAAUAAGAUCUACAAAAAAGUCAGUGCGGGCGUAUCUGUCAAAUGUACGGUUAAAGGGUUAUUUCGCAUUUUUUGCCGAUCCGCACACAUUGGAAUUUCGCUAACUCCUCCGAAGGCUUUCGUUCCACCGGCACCACAUUUAUUCAGGCCAAUCUACACCCCGUGGCCAUUAAAAGUUAUCAAAAUCAUGACGCUGCACCCCACGGUUUAGGUUCUAGGGGGCGCCAAAGAUAACACUAAAAUCCACAUAUUUAAAAGUCUUAUAACUUUUUAUUUUUGUCCUCACUGGCCUCCAAGUUUUCUAGGAUGAUGCAAUGUCCAGCCAUCAACACAUUUGUGAAGGAAUUUUUACUCCCCAAAAGAGCGCCCCCCCAUGGCAGGAGAAAAAACUCCAUUUUUUCUUGUCCCCUAAGGUGAAAAUACACAUUGUUGAGUGUCACGCCUAUACGCUUUGUCAAAAUGACACAAAAAUUGACACACACAUGUAACUCAAUAAGAUCUACAAAAAAGUCAGUGCGCGCGUAUCUGUCAAAUGUACAGUUAAAGGGUUAUUCCGCAUUUUUUGCCGAUACGCACACAUUGGAAUUUCGCUAACUCCUCCGAAGGCUUUCGUUCCACCGGCACCACAUUUGCUCAGGCCAAUCUACACCCCAUGGCCAUUAAAAGUUAUUCAAAUCAUGAUGCUGCACCCCAUGGUUUAGGUUCUAGGGGGCGCCAAAGAUAACCCAAAAAUCCACAUUCUUAAAUGUUUUAUAACUUUUUAUUUCUGUCCUCACUGGCCUCCAAGUUUUCUAGGAUGAUGCAAUGUCCAGCCAUCAACACAUUUGUGAAGGAAUUUUUACUCCCCAAAAGAGCGCCCCCCCAUGGUAGGAGAAAAAAGGCAAUUUUUUCUUGUCCCCUUACAUAAAAAUACACAUUGUUGAGUGUCACGCCUGAACGCUUUGUCAUAUUGACACAAAAUUUGACAAUCAUGUGUAUCUCAAUUAGAUCUACGAAAAAGUCAAAGAGCGCGUAUCUGUAUAAUGUACGGUUAAAGGGCUAUUUUGCAUUUUUUGCCGAUUCGCACACAUUGGAAUGUGGCUAUCUCCUCCUAAGGCUUUCGUCCCACCGAUACCAAAUUUGCUCAGGGCUAUCUACACCCCAUGCCCAUUCAAAGUUGUAAAAAUCAUGACGCUGCACCCCACGGUUUACGUUCUAGGGGGCGCCAAAGAUGACCCAAAAAUCCACAUUCUUAAAAGUCAUUUUGGCCACUGCAGGAGUACAGAGUACUGCAGUUCUAGGGGGCGCCAAAGAUGACCCAAAAAUCCACAUUCUUAAAAGUCUUUUUGGCCACUGCAGGAGUACAGAGUACUGCAGGAUACACACACAUAUACACACACGCCAACAUACACACACACACACACACACACACACACACACACAGACACACACACACACUCAGAGUCUGUUUUUUAGCACCUGCAAAAACAUGCUGUUUACAUAUUUGACAAGAAUGCAGAGGCUUCCUUUUGCCCCUGAAAAAAAUCAAAUUUCAAACACAACUUGACUGUUCAUUUCUCCAAAAGACAACCAUGAAGCUCCAUUUCAAACCUGAAGCAGAUAGUUGGUGCAUGUGUACAGUAACCUGAGGGGAGUGAGGUGACUAUUUCUGAGGAGAACAUGAGCAGUGAAGAUUCACCUUGGAGCUAGAACAGGGACGUGCACAUGAUUAUACAGGGGCAGGGGCUCAAGUUUUUUCCAGUCAUUUAUACAAUAUGGAAAUUAAUGUGAAAUUAAACCACAAAUAUGUGUGAUGAACUGUUUUUAAAACUUAAACUUCAAAUAAAAAUUGUAAACUUCAAAACAUAUGCAAAUUUUUAACAAAGAACAUAGUAAUUUACCUCUAUUUACAUCAAAAUGCAGGCAAUGGCCCAGGCGUUCUUUGUAAAAUUAUUUACAAAACACUGUAUAGUCUCACAAAUGUCACUUUUUAUUUAUGCCACUACAAAAAAACAUGAUGUAAAUGAUGCAUGAUGUAAAACAUGAUGUAAAAAACUUGUGUAGAUCCUCCUCUAUGUCAGUCCAUGUGUAAUUUUUCCAUAAUUCUUUGUUUUUUGCAGCAUUUUUGUUAGUGUAACUGCAGAUUGUGCUGACAGUGUCUAUGGCACAAAAAAAAAAAAAAAAUUUAAAUGCCUCAACAUGAACCCCUGGUGGUCUCUGAGGGUGAAACCUGCUAACUGCUGCAGCUCUGUCAGCUUCAGUCUCCCAUGCAGAGCUCUGAGCGCAUGUGUGGCUCUGCACCCUUAGCAGCGUUGCUAACUCCUCAGUAUGGAAAGCCUGCUUCAUGUCAGAGUCUCUAAACUCCAGAAGAAGUCGAUAAAAGUCACUUUCUUUCUAAAAAAAGUCGUUAGGGUGUCUGAAAAGUCAUUGAAUCUAACAACAAAGUCGCUAGGUUUGCAACUACGUGUCCCAGACUGCAUCCCUGCUGAGAGUCCCUCCCUCCCUUCUCAUGUUGCAGGAAGAACGUAAGCGCCCGCCCCUUGUCAAUCAGUCACCAUAUAAUUUUGGAUUGGUUGUUGUGGUGAAGUUUUCCACCAAUAGGAGAGAUGUUGUGGUGUGUUUUUUUUUUCUUUUGGCAAGCCUUUUCCGCCUGUAAGACCUGUCGCUAAUGUCUGCAUGCUAUGUUUUCCUGUCUCAUACAGCGCGAUCGAGCGCCGAACGUGAUCAAAAUAAGCAGAAAAAAAGUAUCGCGGACAUAAUUUAUCAUAACUCUGGUUUUAUUUGGCCUAUCAACACAAUUUAAAAACUGGUAUAUAGGUUGAGGUCCUCACUUUUGAGAUAAGUUGAAACGGAGAGUCAACGAGGCUCCGUCUUGCAGCUACAUCCGGUUAAAUAUGUCAUGUGACUUGAACGCACACAUAGACACACACACACGCACACACACACACACACACACACACACACACACACACACACUCAGAGUCUGGUUUUUAGCACCUGCAAAAACAUGCUAUUUACAUAUUUGACAAGAAUGCAGAGGCUCCUUUUGCCCCUGAAAAAAAUCAAAUUUCAAACACAACUUGACUGGUCAUUUCUCCAAAAGACAACCAUGAAGCUCCAUCCAAACCUGAAGCAGGCAGUUGGUGCAUGUGUACAGUAACCUGAGGGGAGUGAGGUGAGUGCUUCUGAGGAGAACAUGAGCAGUGAAGAUUCACCUUGGAGCUAGAACAGAGACAUGCACAUGAUUAUACAGGGGCAGGGGCUCAAGUUUUUUCCAGUCGUUUAUACAAUAUGGAAAUUAAUGUGAAAUUAAAACACAAAGUAUUAAUAGAAAGGUAAUGACUGUCCUGUGUAGGUGACAGUGAUAUCCAAUAGGCUAGGCACUCACGAGGCUGGCUGUGGCAAGUGUAAGUGAAAGCAACACGCACUGGCAGGAAGAACAGCAAACGCCGAUGAAGGAAAAGGGUCUUUGCAGUGAUGGGCGUUAACAGAGAGGGCGAUGGCCAGAGGACACAAAUGGGGCGGGGAGGCAGCACGUUGGGGGGGGGG
Molecule: long non-coding RNA, 4243 nt
Filed under: Xyrichtys novacula (pearly razorfish)
Lineage: Eukaryota; Metazoa; Chordata; Actinopteri; Labriformes; Labridae
Source: RNAcentral